Molecule: ribosomal RNA, 346 nt
Filed under: uncultured bacterium
Lineage: Bacteria
Description: partial 16S ribosomal RNA
Rfam family: Bacterial small subunit ribosomal RNA
Source: RNAcentral
ACUACGGGUGGCAGCAGUGGGGAAUAUUGCGCAAUGGGCGAAAGCCUGACGCAGCGACGCCGCGUGAGGGAUGAAGGUCCUCGGAGCGUAAACCUCUGUCAGCAGGGAAGAACGGUCACUGUGCUAAUCAGCAGUGAAUUGACGUUACCUGCAAAGGAAGCACCGGCUAACGCCGUGCCAGCAGCGGCGGUAAUACGGAGGGUGCGAGCGUUAAUCGGAAUUAAUGGGCGGAAAGCGCUCGUAGGCGGGAUGUCAAGUCAAGGGUGAAAUCCCCGCGCUCAACGUGGAAACUGCAUUUGAAACUGGCAGACUGGAGGGUAGGAGAGGAUAGUGGAAUUCCAGGUGU